AUCUGCCUUUGAGCGGGGGACAACAUUUGGAAACGAAUGCUAAUACCGCAUAACAACUUUAAACACAAGUUUUAAGUUUGAAAGAUGCAAUUGCAUCACUCAAAGAUGAUCCCGCGUUGUAUUAGCUAGUUGGUGAGGUAAAGGCUCACCAAGGCGAUGAUACAUAGCCGACCUGAGAGGGUGAUCGGCCACAUUGGGACUGAGACACGGCCCAAACUCCUACGGGAGGCAGCAGUAGGGAAUCUUCGGCAAUGGACGAAAGUCUGACCGAGCAACGCCGCGUGAGCGAAGAAGGUUUUCGGAUCGUAAAACUCUGUUGGUAGAGAAGAACGUUGGUGAGAGUGGAAAGCUCAUCAAGUGACGGUAACUACCCAGAAAGGGACGGCUAACUACGUGCCAGCAGCCGCGGUAAUACGUAGGUCCCGAGCGUUGUCCGGAUUUAUUGGGCGUAAAGCGAGCGCAGGUGGUUUAUUAAGUCUGGUGUAAAAGGCAGUGGCUCAACCAUUGUAUGCAUUGGAAACUGGUAGACUUGAGUGCAGGAGAGGAGAGUGGAAUUCCAUGUGUAGCGGUGAAAUGCGUAGAUAUAUGGAGGAACACCGGUGGCGAAAGCGGCUCUCUGGCCUGUAACUGACACUGAGGCUCGAAAGCGUGGGGAGCAAACAGGAUUAGAUACCCUGGUAGUCCACGCCGUAAACGAUGAGUGCUAGAUGUAGGGAGCUAUAAGUUCUCUGUAUC
This 735-nucleotide ribosomal RNA is filed under the name uncultured bacterium. RNAcentral's name for it is "bacterial SSU rRNA". It matches the Rfam family "Bacterial small subunit ribosomal RNA", at positions 124 to 847 of the family's 1533-position model. The record is from RNAcentral.